GACGAACGCUGGCGGCGUGCUUAACACAUGCAAGUCGAACGGGCCCGCCCCUGUUUUUGGGGGUGGGUUGAGUGGCGAACGGGUGAGUAUCACGUGAGUAACCUGCCCCCUGCUCCUGGAUAACUGCUUGAAAGGGCGGCUAAUACGGGGUGUGCCGGCUGGUCCGCAUGGGCCUGGUCGGGAUAGUUUCAUCUUCGGGUGUUUCGGUGGGGGAUGGGCUCGCGGCCUAUCAGCUUGUUGGUGGGGUGAUGGCCCACCAAGGCGGUGACGGGUAGCCGGCCUGAGAGGGUGGGCGGCCACACUGGGACGGAGACACGGCCCAGACUCCUGCGGGAGGCAGCAGGGGGGGGUAGUGCACAAUGGGCGGAAGCCUGAUGCAGCGACGUCGCGUGAGGGAGGGAGGCCUUCGGGUUGUGAACCUCUUUCUCCGGUGGUGAAGGCCCUGUCCGGUGCGGCGGGGUUGACGGUAGCCGGGGAUGAAGCGCCGGCUAACUACGUG
RNAcentral lists this ribosomal RNA (499 nucleotides) under uncultured bacterium. Its description in RNAcentral is "partial 16S ribosomal RNA". It matches the Rfam family "Bacterial small subunit ribosomal RNA", at positions 28 to 507 of the family's 1533-position model. The record is from RNAcentral.